Long non-coding RNA from Cucumis melo (muskmelon), 908 nucleotides. RefSeq lists it as uncharacterized. The record is from RefSeq and is a predicted model, not a curated record. The transcript has 4 exons. NCBI's taxonomy places the organism in Eukaryota, Viridiplantae, Streptophyta, Magnoliopsida, Cucurbitales, Cucurbitaceae.
GACAUCCAAGUUCCCUUUAUUUUUUUUUUCUUUUUCCUUCUUCAAUUUGCAGAGAACUUCUAAGAGAGAGUUUGGAAGAAGAAGAGAAAUUUUACUAGAAUUUUUAGGUUGAAGAAGAGGAGGAGAACUCAAGCAAAGUGUAUCAAUGGUUGAAUUUUAGUUCAUUCUGCACAUCACUGGUUUUUAAUUCGGUUUGAACUCUUCAAAAGGAAUUAAGAGAAAACAGGGCAGUUGGUUUUCACUCGAAAUCAGGAGGUCUCUGGUUUUUCUUGUAUUUCAGAGUGUAUCGGUGGAGUUAGAAUCUCUAUUUGGAACAAGUUAAAGAGGUCGUGUGCGCGCGAUUCUGGAAGUGGUUCUGUUUUGAGGGUUAUAUGUGUUUAUGCACGGGGAAUCAGAUUUAUAUGUCUUCAGGUAAGUUUUAGAGGAUCUCAAAAUGAAGAGUUUGAUAUAAAGAACACUCAUUUUGGUUAAGUAUUGAGAAAGUUAUAGUCCUUUGAAGUUUAUGUUAGAAAUCUGGAAAUUUUAGAGAAUUGUUGAAAUAGGAUUUUAUUUCUUAAGCUUUGUUUUCGUGAGCGUCAUCUUUGGUGCGACAUGUUAUGUAUAUCUUUAGGAAACCAGAAUGUUUAGGGUUUUAAUACUCGGUUGGGUUGUUGGCAGGCCGAGAAGAAUUAAACCGAGCUUAUGGACCAAGGAUCUAGCCCAAGACUGUAGAGAUCGACUUCCCGGUGCCUGAUAGACUGCCUUAGUCUGCGGAAGCUUCAUUAUCGAUUGCCAGUACGUGUUUUGAGUUGGGCAUAAAGUCUGUUGUGUUGUGAUGUAUUCACACCCUUGUAUGUUAUAGAUACUCCACAGUUUGUAUAAGCUUUAGGAGCUGUAGUUGUGUAAAUUUUGUUGGUUAUAUUUUGUUU